This 17-nucleotide microRNA is filed under the name Rattus norvegicus (Norway rat). RNAcentral's name for it is "rno-miR-365-5p". Its record names the gene rno-miR-365-5p. The record is from miRBase by way of RNAcentral. Lineage: Eukaryota; Metazoa; Chordata; Mammalia; Rodentia; Muridae.
GAGGGACUUUCAGGGGC